UAGGCUGAAACUCGCCUACAUGAAGCUGGAGUUACUAGUAAUCGCAGAUCAGAAUGCUGCGGUGAAUGCGUUCCCGGGUCUUGUACACACCGCCCGUCACACCACGGAAGUUGGGGGCGCCCGAAGCCACUUAGCUAACCCUUUGGGAAGCGAGUGUCGAAGGUGAAAUCAAUAACUGGGGUGAAGUCGUAACAAGGUAAC
RNAcentral lists this ribosomal RNA (201 nucleotides) under uncultured bacterium. RNAcentral describes it as "partial 16S ribosomal RNA". It matches the Rfam family "Bacterial small subunit ribosomal RNA", at positions 1301 to 1500 of the family's 1533-position model. The record is from RNAcentral.